RNAcentral lists this unclassified non-coding RNA (294 nucleotides) under Saitozyma sp. Its description in RNAcentral is "partial contains 5.8S ribosomal RNA, internal transcribed spacer 2, and large subunit ribosomal RNA". The stretch from base 1 to 71 matches the Rfam family "5.8S ribosomal RNA", at positions 84 to 154 of the family's 154-position model. The record is from RNAcentral. Lineage: Eukaryota; Fungi; Basidiomycota; Tremellomycetes; Tremellales; Trimorphomycetaceae.
GUGAGUCAUCGAAUCUUUGAACGCACCUUGCGCCCUCUGGUAUUCCGGAGGGCAUGCCUGUUUGAGUGUCAUGUAGACUCAAUCCCUCGGGUUUCCGAGGAGAUUGGACUUGGGUGUUGCCGCUCUGCCGGCUCGCCUUAAAAGACUUAGCGGGAUAGCACCGUAGUCGGCGUAAUAAGUUUCGUGGGUGAAGGUUGUGAUGACUGCUUACAAUCGCCCUCGGGCAAUUUUUGACUCUGACCUCAAAUCAGGUAGGACUACCCGCUGAACUUAAGCAUAUCAAUAAGCGGAGGA